Molecule: ribosomal RNA, 434 nt
Filed under: uncultured bacterium
Lineage: Bacteria
Description: bacterial SSU rRNA
Rfam family: Bacterial small subunit ribosomal RNA
Source: RNAcentral
AGCGAACGCUGGCGGCAGGCCUAAAACAUGCAAGUCGAACGCCUGUAGCAAUACAGGAGUGGCAGACGGGUGAGUAACACGUGGGAACGUACCCUUUGGUUCGGAACAACACAGGGAAACUUGUGCUAAUACCGGAUAAGCCCUUACGGGGAAAGAUUUAUCGCCAGAGGAUCGGCCCGCGUCUGAUUAGCUUGUUGGUGAGGUAACGGCUCGCCAAGGCUACGAUCAGUAGCUGGCUGAGAGGAUGAUCAGCCACACUGGGACUGAGACACGGCCCAGACUCCUACGGGAGGCAGCAGUUAGGAAUCUUGGACAAUGGGCGCAAGCCUGAUCCAGCCAUGCCGCGUGAGUGAUGAAGGCCUUAGGGUUGUAAAGCUCUUUCAGCGGGGAAGAUAAUGACGGUACCCGCAGAAGAACGCCCCGGCUAACUUCGU